AUCCUAACUCGGAGCUCUUAUU
Molecule: microRNA, 22 nt
Filed under: Sarcophilus harrisii (Tasmanian devil)
Lineage: Eukaryota; Metazoa; Chordata; Mammalia; Dasyuromorphia; Dasyuridae
Description: Sha-Mir-430-o22_5p* (star (passenger))
Source: RNAcentral